Molecule: unclassified non-coding RNA, 223 nt
Filed under: Hevea brasiliensis (rubber tree)
Lineage: Eukaryota; Viridiplantae; Streptophyta; Magnoliopsida; Malpighiales; Euphorbiaceae
Source: RNAcentral
AAACAAUUAAAAAUUGCUUUUUAUGGUUUUCUCUUGUUUUAGGAAUCUGUUUUUCGCUUUAAGACAUUAAGUAACAAAAACAAACAUAUUUUUACAAUAUAUUUUUAAGUAUUGAAUAAAAGGAAAAAAGAGAGCAUCGAUGCCAUUUUCCUUUUCUGUUUUCUUUUCAUACAAAAAGUUCUGUGUAAAUUACUUCUCAGUUCUCACCAUAAAAAUCCUAAGG